This is a long non-coding RNA of Sarcophilus harrisii (Tasmanian devil), 1604 nucleotides long. The record is from Ensembl. Lineage: Eukaryota; Metazoa; Chordata; Mammalia; Dasyuromorphia; Dasyuridae.
GUCAGCGCAUGGAGUGCCAAGUGAUCGUUAAAGAUUGCCUGCAAGUCCCUGAACACCAAUUUUUUCCUCCACACAGUCCCUGAAAUUUUGUGAAUAGAGAAUAUCAAUUUGAAUAUUUGGAUAUCAAUAGAGGAUGUCAAUUUAAGGUUAAUCACUUUCAAGGUCCUUAAAAAAUACCAAAUGCCUCUCAGAGUAUUAACAAAAUGCCCGUAGGAAUAUUAACACAUUAACACCUUACUGUGAAUUUGUUUAUGAGAUCACUUUCCUCUGUAAGUGGAGGGAUCUGGGGCACUCUGAAAACACAGAACACCUGGAGAAGGAAGAGGAGGAGGCUUUGAAAGGGGUAAGAAUGGUGGUGAAUUGAUUCUUCUAAUGAACUAAAGGCAGGGGCUUAUUUCUAUAAGUGUUCUGUGUCCCUAUUACUGGAAACUUUCAAGGGAUUUCAGAAAAUCAGGAAUUAAGGGAAAAGAAUAAUCAUUUAUUAAGUACCCAUAUGGUGUGCUUUAUAAAUAUCUUGUUUGAGUCUCACAACUACCCUAGGAGGUGGGUGCUAUUAUUAUCAACAUUUUACACAUAAACAAAUUGAGGAUCACCAGAUUAAUUAACUUGCCCAGGGUCAUCCAGCUAGGAAGGAUCAGAGGUUACAUUGAGCUCUACAUGCCCUGUGCUGUCUAGAGCUGGGGGCUAUUCAGAGACAUCAGAGAUGAUCAGAGGAACUCACAUCAGAGUUGCAGACCUGGACCAGAGAAGGCCCUGUGGUGAGAUGAAGAAAUCAGUGUAGAGAGAAGAAGAUUAAUGGAAGACCUUCUGAAGUCCUGGAUUCUUGGCCCCCCAAUCCACCUUUUUCCCAGAUAUAUUAGCAUUGCCUUCAGAUCACCUACAAGCCUACUUGGAUGUAAGGGAGCCCUUUUCUAUACUGAGCUGAGCUGUGGUGACCCAUAGAGACAACUCUAGUAUUAUAUCCAGAAGGUGAAGAUUGGAGCCCCAUCCAUCAGCUCAAAUGGUUUUGCUAGGAGUGAUGAGUCUCCCUACCUCCCUGAAGGAUCCCACAAUUAAACAGGCAGGGAAAUGUAUUUCAUGAAAUAUGCAUAGAGUUUUUUUUUUCCCUACAAAGCCAUUUAAACUUCCUUGAGCCAACGAUGGAAUGAAUGAUGAGAUGAGCCAUCUCUUACAACACACCAUUGGGCUCUGGACAUUGAUGACCACUGUGGGGCCUCAGGUUGAAUAUCUGCCAAGGCUUGGGGGAAUGGGAAAAUUUCCCUAAAGGAUAAUGGAAUUAUUUCCCUUAGCCAUGAGAUUUUUUUUUGGCUUCCUUAGGGAGGGGAAAAAGGCCUACUGAUUUGUAAUGUGAAUAUAGCUUCUCUCCUCUACCUUGCCAAGGAGUAAGCAAUCGCAUACCAGACCUAGACCUUCCCCUUUGUGACCACCUGAGAGUUUCUGCCCCCCCAUGGCUUCCCUCAGUGUCAGAGGUAGCACUUGGUAAUUGUGCUGUUGGUUUCCGACAGCCCAUUCCUGACUCCCAUGGCUAAUGGCUCCUUGUCAGCAUCAGGGUUGGAGUAAAUUCUUCAUUAUUGGAGGGAUCUGACAUGUAAGAACAACUGGAG